UACGUAGGGUCCGAGCGUUGUCCGGAAUUACUGGGCGUAAAGAGCUCGUAGGUGGUUUGUCGCGUUGUUCGUGAAAACUCACAGCUCAACUGUGGGCGUGCGGGCGAUACGGGCAGACUGGAGUACUGCAGGGGAGACUGGAAUUCCUGGUGUAGCGGUGGAAUGCGCAGAUAUCAGGAGGAACACCGGUGGCGAAGGCGCCACUCUGGGCCGGUACUGACGCUGAGGAGCGAAAGCGUGGGGAGCGAACAGG
Molecule: ribosomal RNA, 253 nt
Filed under: uncultured bacterium
Lineage: Bacteria
Description: partial 16S ribosomal RNA
Rfam family: Bacterial small subunit ribosomal RNA
Source: RNAcentral